Molecule: long non-coding RNA, 759 nt
Organism: Pipra filicauda (Wire-tailed manakin)
Lineage: Eukaryota; Metazoa; Chordata; Aves; Passeriformes; Pipridae
Exons: 4
Source: RefSeq, a predicted model, not a curated record
GUGCCGGCUCUUCCCCACAGCGCCUGUGGGAGAGUAUUUUAUAGCCAGCGGGUGUAGCUCAGCCUGAGCGCUGCCGCCGGGCGUGUCCGAGCUCCCCGGAGCGGUGGGUCAGGGCAGCCACGCCUGCCCGCGGGUGUCGGUGCUGCCCCGGCUGAGGAGCCACGAGGGCAAGAACAGGCCCGAGGUUUUGAGGCCCCGCGGUUUGUCUGUUCUGGGAGCUGAGCUAGUGAUGAUAAAGGUUAUCCCUGUCUGAAACUGAUCUUUUCCUCUGUGGAAGUAUCACUCUGAGGCUCGGCGUUAAAGACGCAAAGGUAAAGGAAUGGUUUGCUACAUGAACUAACUCUGUGCUGUUCCUCCCUUUCAGAGCCUGGCGCGAUGUCAGGAAAGGAUUAAAACACUUAUCUGGCUGGGGACCUGAUUUAUCUACUGGACUGACAGCACAGCUGCACAGUGGAGGAAAUGGUCCUGCAGAGUCCUGGGGCUGCUGUUGCCCAAACACAGCUUUGACAAGAGGGCAGCUGCUAAGCUGGGCUUAAGCUGCUCUAGAAGCAACAGCAUAAAGAUUGUUUUGGACUGAGUGUCACAGAUGGCCACUGAUAAGUGACUUGUGUAACCACAGGCUCCUCCUCGCUGCUCAGGGGUUGCUGCAACCACACCAUAGGAUCUGACCUACAGGUGGCUGGAUGAAAAAGUGAUUCCCUGGUUUCUUCUGUUCCAGAAUAAAAUAAAUUUAAAUUAUGGGAAACCUUGUGAGUUGAA